This 308-nucleotide ribosomal RNA is filed under the name uncultured Pseudomonas sp. Its description in RNAcentral is "bacterial SSU rRNA". It matches the Rfam family "Bacterial small subunit ribosomal RNA", at positions 1077 to 1382 of the family's 1533-position model. Lineage: Bacteria; Pseudomonadati; Pseudomonadota; Gammaproteobacteria; Pseudomonadales; Pseudomonadaceae. The record is from RNAcentral.
GGGUUAAGUCCCGUAACGACGCGCAACCCUUGUCCUUAGUUACCAGCACGUUAUGGUGGGCACUCUAAGGAGACUGCCGGUGACAAACCGGAGGAAGGUGGGGAUGACGUCAAGUCAUCAUCGGCCCUUACGGCCUGGGCUACACACGUGCUACAAUGGUCGGUACAAAGGGUUGCCAAGCCGCGAGGUGGAGCUAAUCCCAUAAAACCGAUCGUAGUCCGGAUCGCAGUCUGCAACUCGACUGCGUGAAGUCGGAAUCGCUAGUAAUCGUGAAUCAGAAUGUCACGGUGAAUACGUUCCCGGGCCUU